RNAcentral lists this ribosomal RNA (465 nucleotides) under uncultured bacterium. RNAcentral describes it as "partial 16S ribosomal RNA". It matches the Rfam family "Bacterial small subunit ribosomal RNA", at positions 338 to 795 of the family's 1533-position model. The record is from RNAcentral.
CCUACGGGUGGCAGCAGUGGGGAAUAUUGCGCAAUGGGCGAAAGCCUGACGCAGCGACGCCGCGUGAGGGAUGAAGGUCUUCGGAUCGUAAACCUCUGUCAGCAGGGAAGAACGGUCACUGUGCUAAUCAGCAGUGAAUUGACGGUACCUGCAAAGCAAGCACCGGCUAACUACGUGCCAGCAGCCGCGGUAAUACGGAGGGUGCGAGCGUUAAUCGGAGUUACUGGGCGUAAGGCGCUCGUAGGCGGUAUGUCAAGUCAGGGGUGAAAUCCCCGCGCUCAACGUGGGAACUGCCUUUGAAACUGGCAAACGUGAGUGUGUGAGAGGCUAGUGGAAUUCCAGGUGUAGGAGUGAAAUCCGUAGAUAUCUGGAGGAACAUCAGUGGCGAAGGCGACUAUCUGGCACAUAACUGACGCUGAGGAGCGAAAGCGUGGGUAGCAAACAGGAUUAGAUACCCUUGUAGUC